AAUAGAUACCCGGGUAGUCCACGCCGUAAACGAUGAGUGCUAAGUGUUAGAGGGUUUCCGCCCUUUAGUGCUGCAGCUAACGCAUUAAGCACUCCGCCUGGGGAGUACGGUCGCAAGACUGAAACUCAAAGGAAUUGACGGGGGCCCGCACAAGCGGUGGAGCAUGUGGUUUAAUUCGAAGCAACGCGAAGAACCUUACCAGGUCUUGACAUCCUCUGACAACUCUAGAGAUAGAGCGUUCCCCUUCGGGGGACAGAGUGACAGGUGGUGCAUGGUUGUCGUCAGCUCGUGUCGUGAGAUGUUGGGUUAAGUCCCGCAACGAGCGCAACCCUUGAUCUUAGUUGCCAGCAUUCAGUUGGGCACUCUAAGGUGACUGCCGGUGACAAACCGGAGGAAGGUGGGGAUGACGUCAAAUCAUCAUGCCCCUUAUGACCUGGGCUACACACGUGCUACAAUGGAUGGUACAAAGGGCUGCAAGACCGCGGGGUCAAGCCAAUCCCAUAAAACCNUUCUCAGUUCGGAUUGC
This 526-nucleotide ribosomal RNA is filed under the name uncultured bacterium. RNAcentral describes it as "bacterial SSU rRNA". It matches the Rfam family "Bacterial small subunit ribosomal RNA", at positions 777 to 1301 of the family's 1533-position model. The record is from RNAcentral.